Molecule: ribosomal RNA, 465 nt
Filed under: uncultured Klebsiella sp.
Lineage: Bacteria; Pseudomonadati; Pseudomonadota; Gammaproteobacteria; Enterobacterales; Enterobacteriaceae
Description: bacterial SSU rRNA
Rfam family: Bacterial small subunit ribosomal RNA
Source: RNAcentral
CCUACGGGUGGCUGCAGUGGGGAAUAUUGCACAAUGGGCGCAAGCCUGAUGCAGCCAUGCCGCGUGUGUGAAGAAGGCCUUCGGGUUGUAAAGCACUUUCAGCGGGGAGGAAGGCGUUAAGGUUAAUAACCUUGUCGAUUGACGUUACCCGCAGAAGAAGCACCGGCUAACUCCGUGCCAGCAGCCGCGGUAAUACGGAGGGUGCAAGCGUUAAUCGGAAUUACUGGGCGUAAAGCGCACGCAGGCGGUCUGUCAAGUCGGAUGUGAAAUCCCCGGGCUCAACCUGGGAACUGCAUUCGAAACUGGCAGGCUAGAGUCUUGUAGAGGGUGGUAGAAUUCCAGGUGUAGCGGUGAAAUGCGUAGAGAUCUGGAGGAAUACCGGUGGCGAAGGCGGCCCCCUGGACAAAGACUGACGCUCAGGUGCGAAAGCGUGGGGAGCAAACAGGAUUAGAUACCCCUGUAGUC